GCUACCAUGCAGUCGAACGAUGAGAGGGAGCUUGCUCCCUGGAUUAGUGGCGAACGGGUGAGUAACACGUGAGUAACCUGCCCUUGACUCUGGGAUAAGCACUGGAAACGGUGUCUAAUACCGGAUACGAACUUCAGCCGCAUGGCUAGGAGUUGGAAAGAAUUUCGGUCAAGGAUGGACUCGCGGCCUAUCAGCUAGUUGGUGAGGUAAUGGCCCACCAAGGCGACGACGGGUAGCCGGCCUGAGAGGGUGACCGGCCACACUGGGACUGAGACACGGCCCAGACUCCUACGGGAGGCAGCAGUGGGGAAUAUUGCACAAUGGGCGCAAGCCUGAUGCAGCAACGCCGCGUGAGGGACGACGGCCUUCGGGUUGUAAACCUCUUUUAGUAGGGAAGAAGCAAAGUGUUUUACAUGGAGUGACGGUACCUGCAGAAAAAGCACCGGCUAACUACGUGCCAGCAGCCGCGGUAAUACGUAGGGUGCAAGCGUUAUCCGGAAUUAUUGGGCGUAAAGAGCUCGUAGGCGGUUUGUCGCGUCUGCUGUGAAAACUGGGGGCUCAACCCCCAGCCUGCAGUGGGUACGGGCAGACUAGAGUGCGGUAGGGGAGAUUGGAAUUCCUGGUGUAGCGGUGGAAUGCGCAGAUAUCAGGAGGAACACCAAUGGCGAAGGCAGAUCUCUGGGCCGUAACUGACGCUGAGGAGCGAAAGCAUGGGGAGCGAACAGGAUUAGAUACCCUGGUAGUCCAUGCCGUAAACGUUGGGAACUAGAUGUAGGGUCCAUUCCACGGAUUCUGUGUCGCAGCUAACGCAUUAAGUUCCCCGCCUGGGGAGUACGGCG
This 839-nucleotide ribosomal RNA is filed under the name Glaciihabitans sp. RNAcentral's name for it is "bacterial SSU rRNA". It matches the Rfam family "Bacterial small subunit ribosomal RNA", at positions 48 to 887 of the family's 1533-position model. The record is from RNAcentral. Lineage: Bacteria; Bacillati; Actinomycetota; Actinomycetes; Micrococcales; Microbacteriaceae.